AACGAACGCUGGCGGCAUGCCUAACACAUGCAAGUCGAACGAGACCUUCGGGUCUAGUGGCGCACGGGUGCGUAACGCGUGGGAAUCUACCCUUGGGUUCGGAAUAACAGUUAGAAAUGACUGCUAAUACCGGAUGAUGACGAAAGUCCAAAGAUUUAUCGCCAGAGGAUGAGCCCGCGUAGGAUUAGCUAGUUGGUGUGGUAAAGGCGCACCAAGGCGACGAUCCUUAGCUGGUCUGAGAGGAUGAUCAGCCACACUGGGACUGAGACACGGCCCAGACUCCUACGGGAGGCAGCAGUGGGGAAUAUUGGACAAUGGGCGAAAGCCUGAUCCAGCAAUGCCGCGUGAGUGAUGAAGGCCUUAGGGUUGUAAAGCUCUUUUACCCGGGAUGAUAAUGACAGUACCGGGAGAAUAAGCUCCGGCUAACUCCGUGCCAGCCGCCGCCGUAA
RNAcentral lists this ribosomal RNA (449 nucleotides) under uncultured bacterium. Its description in RNAcentral is "partial 16S ribosomal RNA". It matches the Rfam family "Bacterial small subunit ribosomal RNA", at positions 29 to 523 of the family's 1533-position model. The record is from RNAcentral.